GACGAACGCUGGCGGCGUGCUUAACACAUGCAAGUCGAACGGAAAGGCCCUGCUUUUGUGGGGUGCUCGAGUGGCGAACGGGUGAGUAACACGUGAGUAACCUGCCCUUGACUUUGGGAUAACUUCAGGAAACUGGGGCUAAUACCGGAUAGGAGCUCCUGCUGCAUGGUGGGGGUUGGAAAGUUUCGGCGGUUGGGGUUGGACUCGCGGCUUAUCAGCUGGUUGGUGGGGUAGUGGCUUACCAAGGCUUUGACGGGUAGCCGGCCUGAGAGGGUGACCGGCCACAUUGGGACUGAGAUACGGCCCAGACUCCUACGGGAGGCAGCAGUGGGGAAUAUUGCACAAUGGGCGGAAGCCUGAUGCAGCAACGCCGCGUGCGGGAUGACGGCCUUCGGGUUGUAAACCGCUUUCGCCUGUGACGAAGCGUGAGUGACGGUAAUGGGUAAAGAAGCACCGGCUAACUACGUG
Molecule: ribosomal RNA, 468 nt
Filed under: uncultured bacterium
Lineage: Bacteria
Description: partial 16S ribosomal RNA
Rfam family: Bacterial small subunit ribosomal RNA
Source: RNAcentral